This 85-nucleotide transfer RNA is filed under the name Felis catus (domestic cat). It matches the Rfam family "tRNA". Rfam says of the family: Transfer RNA (tRNA) molecules are approximately 80 nucleotides in length. Their secondary structure includes four short double-helical elements and three loops (D, anti-codon, and T loops). RNAcentral also lists the same sequence under 4 other names. The record is from Rfam by way of RNAcentral. Lineage: Eukaryota; Metazoa; Chordata; Mammalia; Carnivora; Felidae.
GCCUGGGUGGCUCAGUCGGUUAAGCGUCUGACUUCAGCUCAGGUCAUGAUCUCACAGUCUGUGAGUUCGAGCCCCGCGUCAGGCU